Molecule: long non-coding RNA, 533 nt
Filed under: Homo sapiens (human)
Lineage: Eukaryota; Metazoa; Chordata; Mammalia; Primates; Hominidae
Description: HSALNT0030455
Source: RNAcentral
CAGGCUGCCCAUUUGGGAAAUCAGAGGGAAAUGUGGAAAGUGAUGGGAAUUGCCAUUGCCUUCAGAAAGUGUUGAUAUUAUUAUUUCUGACAUUCCAUUUGGGAAAAAGUUUAAGUUAGGAAAAGACAUCAAAAGCAUUCUACAAGAAAUGGAAAGAGUGCUUCAUGUUGGCGGAACCAUUGUAUUGUUGCUUAGUGAAGAUCACCACAGGCGCCUUACAGAUUGUAAAGAGAGCAACAUCCCUUUCAAUUCCAAGGACAGUCACACAGAUGAACCUGGAAUUAAAAAGUGCUUGAAUCCUGAAGAAAAAACUGGUGCAUUCAAGACAGCGUCAACUUCAUUCGAAGCCAGUAACCACAAAUUCUUAGACAGAAUGUCACCAUUUGGCUCCUUGGUACCAGUGGAAUGCUACAAAGUUAGCCUUGGAAAGACAGAUGCGUUCAUAUGUAAAUAUAAGAAGUCGCACUCUUCUGGACUGUAGCAGGCUUGCUGCCAUCAGCCGGGUUCAGGCCCUUGUAAGUUAGCUGUACAGC